This 745-nucleotide ribosomal RNA is filed under the name Prymnesium zebrinum. Its description in RNAcentral is "bacterial SSU rRNA". It matches the Rfam family "Bacterial small subunit ribosomal RNA", at positions 521 to 1272 of the family's 1533-position model. The record is from RNAcentral. Lineage: Eukaryota; Haptophyta; Prymnesiales; Prymnesiaceae.
GUAUACGGGGGAUGCAAGCGUUAUCCGGAAUCAUUGGGCGUAAAGCGCCUGUAGGUGGUUUAAUAAGUCUGUUGUUAAAGACUAGGGCUUAACCCUAGAAAAGCAAUGGAAACUACUAGACUUGAGUAUGGCAGGGGUAGAGGGAACUUCUAGUGUAGCGGUGAAAUGCGUAGAUAUUAGAAAGAACACCAGCGGCGAAAGCGCUCUACUGGACCAUUACUGACACUCAGAGGCGAAAGCUAGGGUAGCAAAAGGGAUUAGAUACCCCUGUAGUCCUAGCCGUAAACGAUGGAUACUAAAUGUUGUAUAUAUUUUACAGUAUUGUAGCUAACGCGUUAAGUAUCCCGCCUGGGGAGUACGCUCGCAAGGGUGAAACUCAAAGGAAUUGACGGGGGCCCGCACAAGCGGUGGAGCAUGUGGUUUAAUUCGAUGCAACGCGAAGAACCUUACCAGGGCUUGACAUACUACGAAUCUUUUUGAAAGAAGAGAGUGCCUUCGGGAACGUAGAUACAGGUGGUGCAUGGCUGUCGUCAGCUCGUGUCGUGAGAUGUUGGGUUAAGUCCCGCAACGAGCGCAACCCUUAUUUUUAGUUACCAAUUUUAAUUGGGUUCUCUAGAAAGACUGCCGGUGACAAACCGGAGGAAGGUGAGGAUGACGUCAAGUCAGCAUGCCCCUUAUGUCCUGGGCCACACACGUGCUACAAUGGUUAGAACAAAGAGUUGCGAGUUUGCGAAAACAAGCUAAU